GACGUAGGGCGCGAGCGUUGUCCGGAUUUAUUGGGCGUAAAGAGCUCGUAGGCGGCUUGUCGCGUCGACUGUGAAAACCCGCGGCUCAACUGCGGGCCUGCAGUCGAUACGGGCAGGCUAGAGUUCGGUAGGGGAGACUGGAAUUCCUGGUGUAGCGGUGAAAUGCGCAGAUAUCAGGAGGAGCACCGGUGGCGAAGGCGGGUCUCUGGGCCGAUACUGACGCUGAGGAGCGAAAGCGUGGGGAGCGAACAGG
This 253-nucleotide ribosomal RNA is filed under the name uncultured bacterium. RNAcentral's name for it is "partial 16S ribosomal RNA". It matches the Rfam family "Bacterial small subunit ribosomal RNA", at positions 524 to 776 of the family's 1533-position model. The record is from RNAcentral.